AUUGAACGCUGGCGGCAGGCCUAACACAUGCAAGUCGAGCGGAUGAAGGGAGCUUGCUCCUGGAUUCAGCGGCGGACGGGUGAGUAAUGCCUAGGAAUCUGCCUGGUAGUGGGGGAUAACGUCCGGAAACGGGCGCUAAUACCGCAUACGUCCUGAGGGAGAAAGUGGGGGAUCUUCGGACCUCACGCUAUCAGAUGAGCCUAGGUCGGAUUAGCUAGUUGGUGGGGUAAAGGCCUACCAAGGCGACGAUCCGUAACUGGUCUGAGAGGAUGAUCAGUCAAACUGGAACUGAGACACGGUCCAGACUCCUACGGGAGGCAGCAGUGGGGAAUAUUGGACAAUGGGCGAAAGCCUGAUCCAGCAAUGCCGCGUGUGUGAAGAAGGUCUUCGGAUUGUAAAGCACUUUAAGUUGGGAGGAAGGGCAGUAAGUUAAUACCUUGCUGUUUUGACGUUACCAACAGAAUAAGCACCGGCUAACUUCGUG
This 484-nucleotide ribosomal RNA is filed under the name uncultured bacterium. Its description in RNAcentral is "partial 16S ribosomal RNA". It matches the Rfam family "Bacterial small subunit ribosomal RNA", at positions 30 to 507 of the family's 1533-position model. The record is from RNAcentral.